This 281-nucleotide unclassified non-coding RNA is filed under the name Hevea brasiliensis (rubber tree). Lineage: Eukaryota; Viridiplantae; Streptophyta; Magnoliopsida; Malpighiales; Euphorbiaceae. The record is from RNAcentral.
GAAACCAAAUUCUGAUAUGAAGCUGAUUCUCAAAGCUCACAUUGAUGCUGAUAACCUUUUCUCGCUUGAUUUCGCUUCAAUGGCGUCGACCCAAAUUCCCAGGGAGCUUGCACAUCCACUGAAACAUCUCUAUGGACCGACUCAGGUACUGGGUUCUUGUCGUGGGUUGGUUUUAAUUUCUAAUAACAUGAAUGAUAAUGGUGUUUGGAAUCCUUCUACUAAGGUGUUUAGGAAGUUACCCUUUUGUCAUAUAAACCCUCCGAGGAAACCCCUGGGUGGAC